This is a long non-coding RNA of Danio aesculapii, 813 nucleotides long. RefSeq lists it as uncharacterized. NCBI's taxonomy places the organism in Eukaryota, Metazoa, Chordata, Actinopteri, Cypriniformes, Danionidae. The record is from RefSeq and is a predicted model, not a curated record. The transcript has 3 exons.
AGCGAGAAGAGAACAGGUUACGGCCACAGAGAGGAAAGUGAAGGAAUGACUGCAGUAAAGUGAAGCUUCUUUGGAUUUUUCUACUUGCUAUCCCACUGCAGUUGAAGCUCAGCGGUGCUCAAAGGCCACCUAGAGGACUCGUUGAGAAACUGCACAACACCAAAUACUGCAGUACCCCCUCCUCUUCAAGCUUUCUCCCCGACUGAGGUUUGAUUCGGGAGGACAAGAAGUGUAGUGUUUAAGUGCGCACUACUGUGAAAUCCUCAUGGGUUGUCUAGGUGUGCAGCCAACUGCCUGUUCAGCGAUAUUUCUGGCUCUCCCUGGCCUUCCCUUUUUACUUGCAGCUUUUUUUUUUUAUGAACCCAAUUCUGUUGGGUUCCACAGAAGAAAAAACAUCAUAUAUGUUAAAAAAUUCAUGAGAGCACAAAAUGUUUAUUUUUCAUAAUCAAACCCUAACCCUAUAAUAAUUAUUGUUUUUUAAAUAUUAUUAAGGACUUAAAAGGUAAAAUAGGCUGUAACAAAGACAGUAUGACAUAAAGUGCUGAGUAAACUAUCCCCUUAGGGAAAAAUAAUAUAUACACACAUACACCCAGAAAUAGGCGCAUGUUCCAGAUCAAUAAAUCAAUCAUGUUUCCACCAAUCACUUCAAACAUGCUUUUGUUCUCCAUUUAUUUCUGAGUGACAAAAGGAAAGAAUGGAAAUUAAGCCAUAUUGAUGAAACCAUUUUUUGAAGUUCAGAUCAAUUAUAGCAGAACUGAAAAUAAAAGCACCAACACUAGUUUGUCUAUGUUCUUAUACCACUGACAUCUUAUU